UACGUAGGUGGCGAGCGUUAUUCGGAUUUACUGGGCGUAAAGGGUCCGCAGGGGGUUUGCCAAGUCUGGUGUGAAAUCUCACGGCUCAACCGUGAAACUGCACUGGAAACUGGCGAACUGGAGUCUGCGAGGGGUGAGCGGAAUUCCUGGUGUAGCGGUGGAAUGCGUAGAUAUCAGGAAGAACACCGAUGGCGAAGGCGGCUCACUGGCGCAGUACUGACCCUCAUGGACGAAAGCGUGGGGAGCGAACAGG
Molecule: ribosomal RNA, 253 nt
Filed under: uncultured bacterium
Lineage: Bacteria
Description: partial 16S ribosomal RNA
Rfam family: Bacterial small subunit ribosomal RNA
Source: RNAcentral